Molecule: ribosomal RNA, 253 nt
Filed under: uncultured bacterium
Lineage: Bacteria
Description: partial 16S ribosomal RNA
Rfam family: Bacterial small subunit ribosomal RNA
Source: RNAcentral
UACAGAGGGUGCAAGCGUUACUCGGAAUCACUAGGCGUAAAGCGCAGGUAGGCGGUUUGGUAAGUCUUUUGUGAAAGCUCCCGGCUCAACUGGGAGAGGUCAAAGGAAACUACUAGGCUAGAGUGUGGUAGGGGAUACUGGAAUUCCUGGUGUAGCGGUGAAAUGCGUAGAUAUCAGGAGGAAUACCUAUGGCGAAAGCAGGUAUCUGGGCCAUCACUGACGCUGAGCUGCGAAAGCGUGGGGAGCGAACAGG